Molecule: long non-coding RNA, 415 nt
Organism: Salvelinus namaycush (lake trout)
Lineage: Eukaryota; Metazoa; Chordata; Actinopteri; Salmoniformes; Salmonidae
Exons: 3
Source: RefSeq, a predicted model, not a curated record
AACAAAGAGUCAACAGGACGAAGGACCUUAUGAAUGUGCUUUCUAUUGUUCUUCCCCUUCUAAAAGAACCCGCCAUAUGGAGAAUAAAAUAGCGGUUGACUCUUCCCAUCCACUCCACCCUGAAUUCCAGCUCCUUCCCUCUGGCCACAGUGGACCUGAGCCAUAGGACCAUGACUCAGGACUACCUGGCUUGACGACUCCUGGCUGUUCCCGUCCCCAGUCCACCUGGUCGUGCUGCUGAUCCAGUUUCUGCUGUUCUGCCUGCGGCUAUGGAACCCUGACCUGUUCACCGGAUGUGCUACCUUGUCUAGGACAUACUGUGUCAAGCCUCCCCACUUGAAAAAAAUACAUUUUAUAUUAUGGCAUAAAUACUAUAGUAUUCACGGGAACACAGGCCUCCCGUGUGGCGCAGUGG